UGGGGAAUUUUGGACAAUGGGGGAAACCCUGAUCCAGCCAUGCCGCGUGCGGGAAGAAGGCCUUCGGGUUGUAAACCGCUUUUGUCAGGGAAGAAAUCUUCCAGGUUAAUACCUUGGGAGGAUGACGGUACCUGAAGAAUAAGCACCGGCUAACUACGUGCCAGCAGCCGCGGUAAUACGUAGGGUGCAAGCGUUAAUCGGAAUUACUGGGCGUAAAGCGUGCGCAGGCGGUUAUGCAAGACAGAUGUGAAAUCCCCGGGCUUAACCUGGGAACUGCAUUUGUGACUGCAUAGCUGGAGUACGGCAGAGGGGGAUGGAAUUCCGCGUGUAGCAGUGAAAUGCGUAGAUAUGCGGAGGAACACCGAUGGCGAAGGCAGUCCCCUGGGCCUGUACUGACGCUCAUGCACGAAAGCGUGGGGAGCAAACAGG
This 429-nucleotide ribosomal RNA is filed under the name uncultured bacterium. RNAcentral's name for it is "bacterial SSU rRNA". It matches the Rfam family "Bacterial small subunit ribosomal RNA", at positions 355 to 776 of the family's 1533-position model. The record is from RNAcentral.